RNA transcript from Chenopodium quinoa (quinoa), 681 nucleotides. RefSeq lists it as uncharacterized. The record is from RefSeq and is a predicted model, not a curated record. Lineage: Eukaryota; Viridiplantae; Streptophyta; Magnoliopsida; Caryophyllales; Amaranthaceae. The transcript has 4 exons.
CUACACCUCUUUCUUCUUCCUCUUUUCCAAACGACUUCCUCUAUGAAAGUUUAUCAGGUUUCACUCAUUCUCUCUCUAAACUUUCCACUAAGAAACUCCACUUACAUGAAGAUCAAAUUGGCGGGAUUAAUCAUCAAAUUUUUAAAUCGCGAAUUGCAAAUGGAUUCAACUGAAGCUCCGAUCCAAACGAUGAACCAAAAUUUCCAGUUGUUACUUAAGAACGAUGAAUACAUGUUCUUUUUGUGAUGUGAGUGAUUGAUUGAUUAUGUUCUUGAUGUUGUACGCAAAGAAGCUGAGAAUUGUGACUGCUUACAAGUUACUGAGGAAGAAGUGGAUCUUUUAUAUGACUUAUUCAAUAAACUCAGCAACUCUGUUGUCAAAGAUGGUUUUAUUCAAAAGGUAUAUAAUAUUCUUGAUGAUACUUAAUCUGCUUUAUAUGGUAGCAAAUGAAGAGUUGUAUGCAUUAUAUUAUUGCUAUAUCUAAGUUAUUAUUGUUUCUUUAUUCUAAUACAAUUAUUAAUUAUAAUGAUCAGAAGGAACUUCAACUUAAUUGCAUUAUUUAAGAAUAGUAUGAAGAGAAUCCUUUUUUCUGGACAGAGUAUGUGUUUUCUUUUAGUUGUUAGAUGUUGAUGUCCCAUAUUUCAUGCAAGAAUUUCCAAUCUAAGUAUGUGUUCACUUGUU